CUACGGUGGCAGCAGUGGGGAAUACUGGACAAUGGGCGCAAGCCUGAUCCAGCAAUACCGCGUGUGUGAAGAAGGCCUGCGGGUUGUAAAGCACUUUCAAUUGUGAAGAAAAGCGAGAGGUUAAUAGCCUUUUGUCUUGACGUUAACUUUAGAAGAAGCACCGGCUAACUCUGUGCCAGCAGCCGCGGUAAUACAGAGGGUGCGAGCGUUAAUCGGAAUUACUGGGCGUAAAGCGUGCGUAGGCGGUUUAGUAAGUCAGAUGUGAAAGCCCUGGGCUCAACCUGGGAACUGCAUUUGAAACUGCUGAACUAGAGUGUGGUAGAGGGAAGUGGAAUUCCGGGUGUAGCGGUGAAAUGCGUAGAUAUCCGGAGGAACACCAGUGGCGAAGGCGACUUCCUGGACCAACACUGACGCUGAGGUACGAAAGCGUGGGUAGCAAACAGGAUUAGAUACCCGCGUAGUC
This 463-nucleotide ribosomal RNA is filed under the name uncultured bacterium. Its description in RNAcentral is "partial 16S ribosomal RNA". It matches the Rfam family "Bacterial small subunit ribosomal RNA", at positions 339 to 795 of the family's 1533-position model. The record is from RNAcentral.